This 1043-nucleotide ribosomal RNA is filed under the name uncultured bacterium. RNAcentral's name for it is "bacterial SSU rRNA". It matches the Rfam family "Bacterial small subunit ribosomal RNA", at positions 470 to 1528 of the family's 1533-position model. The record is from RNAcentral.
UGACGGUACCUUAUCAGAAAGCACCGGCAAACUAUGUGCCAGCAGCCGCGGUAAUACAUAGGGUGCAAGCGUUAUCCGGAAUCAUUGGGCGUAAAGCGUCUGUAGGUGGUCUAUUAAGUCUGAAUUUAAAGCCUGGGGCUCAACCCCAGCCCGGUUCGGAUACUGAUAGACUAGAGUUAUAGAGAGGUAAGUAGAACUCCAUGUGAAGCGGUGGAAUGCGUAGAUAUAUGGAAGAAUACCAAUGGCGAAGGCAACUUACUGGAUAUAUACUGACACUCAGAGACGAAAGCGUGGGUAGCAAACAGGAUUAGAUACCCUGGUAGUCCACGCCGUAAACGCUGAUCGUUAGCCGGUGGAAUUGAUCACUGGCGCAGCUAACGCAUUAAACGAUCCGCCUGAGUAGUAUGCUCGCAAGAGUGAAACUUAAAGGAAUUGACGGGGACCCGCACAAGCGGUGGAGCAUGUGGUUUAAUUUGAAGAUACGCGAAGAACCUUACCCACUUUUGACAUCUUCCGCAACGCUAUGGAGACAUAGUUGAGGUUAACGGAAUGACAGAUGGUGCAUGGUUGUCGUCAGCUCGUGUCGUGAGAUGUUCGGUUAAGUCCGGCAACGAGCGCAACCCCUGUCUUUAGUUACUAACAUUUAGUUGAGGACUCUAGAGAGACUGCCUGGGUAACCAGGAGGAAGGUGGGGACGACGUCAAAUCAUCAUGCCUCUUACAAGUGGGGCUACACACGUGCUACAAUGGGUAAUACAAAGUGACGCUAACCGGCGACGGUACGCAAAUCACAUAAAAUUAUUCUCAGUUCGGAUUGGAGUCUGCAACUCGACUCCAUGAAGUCGGAAUCGCUAGUAAUCGUAGGUCAGCAAUACUACGGUGAAUACGUUCUCGGGUCUUGUACACACCGCCCGUCACACCAUGGGAGCUGGUAAUGCCCGAAGCCGGAUAGAUAACUUCGGAGUCUACUGUCUAAGGCAGGGCCGGUGACUAGGGUGAAGUCGUAACAAGGUAUCCCUACGAGAACGUGGGGAUGGAUCACCU